AGUUGGUGAGGUAAGGGCUUACCAAGGCGACGACGGAUAGCCGGCGUGAGAGCGUGGCCGGCCACAAGGACACUGAGAUACGGGUCCUACUCCUACGGGAGGCAGCAGUGCGGAAUUUUAGAUAAUGGAGGGAACUCUGAUCUAGCGACGCCGCGUGCAGGAAGAAGGUCUUCGGAUUGUAAACUGCUGUGGUAAGGGAAAAAUGCUAUGUAGAGUGGAAAGCUACAUAGAGGGAUGGUACCUUACUAGAAAGCCCCGGCUAACUACGUGCCAGCAGCCGCGGUAAUACGUAGGGGGCGAGCGUUACCCGGAAUCACUGGGCGUAAAGGGAGCGUAGGUGGCCUAACAUGUCAACUGUGAAAACCCGGAGCUCAACUCCGGACUUGCAGUUGAAACUGGUAGGCUUGAGGACGGUAGAGGAAGACGGAACUGCCAGUGUAGGGGUAAAAUCCUUAGAUAUUGGCAGGAACGCCGGUGACGAAGGUGGUUUUCUGGGCCGGUUCUGACACUGAUGCUCGAAAGCCAGGGGAGCGAACGGGAUUAGAUACCCCGGUAGUCCUGGCCCUAAACGAUGUUCACUAGGUGUGGGGAGCG
This 594-nucleotide ribosomal RNA is filed under the name uncultured bacterium. RNAcentral describes it as "bacterial SSU rRNA". It matches the Rfam family "Bacterial small subunit ribosomal RNA", at positions 247 to 831 of the family's 1533-position model. The record is from RNAcentral.